CCUACGGGAGGCAGCAGUGAGGAAUAUUGGUCAAUGGGCGGAAGCCUGAACCAGCCAAGUAGCGUGCGGGAUGAAGGCCCUACGGGUCGUAAACCGCUUUUGCACGGGGAUAACACCCUCCACUUGUGGAGGUCUGCAGGUACCGUGCGAAUAAGGGCCGGCUAAUUCCGUGCCAGCAGCCGCGGUAAUACGGAAGGCCCGAGCGUUAUCCGGAUUCAUUGGGCUUAAGGGGAGCGUAGGGGGGCGUUCAAGUCAGGUGAAAAAUUGCGCGGCUCAACCGCCACCCGCAGUUGAAAAGGGACGCCUGGGGUUCACAACAGGCAGGCGAAAUUCGUGGUGUGGCGGUGAAAUGCAU
Molecule: ribosomal RNA, 355 nt
Filed under: uncultured bacterium
Lineage: Bacteria
Description: partial 16S ribosomal RNA
Rfam family: Bacterial small subunit ribosomal RNA
Source: RNAcentral